Molecule: ribosomal RNA, 895 nt
Filed under: Colletotrichum gloeosporioides
Lineage: Eukaryota; Fungi; Ascomycota; Sordariomycetes; Glomerellales; Glomerellaceae
Description: LSU rRNA
Rfam family: Eukaryotic large subunit ribosomal RNA
Source: RNAcentral
AGCAUAUCAAUAAGCGGAGGAAAAGAAACCAACAGGGAUUGCCUCAGUAACGGCGAGUGAAGCGGCAACAGCUCAAAUUUGAAAUCUGGCCCUAGGCCCGAGUUGUAAUUUGCAGAGGAUGCUUUUGGUGCGGUGCCUUCCAAGUUCCCUAGAACGGGACGCCAGAGAGGGUGAGAGCCCCGUACAGUUGGACACCAAGCCUUUGUAAAGCUCCUUCGACGAGUCGAGUAGUUUGGGAAUGCUGCUCAAAAUGGGAGGUAUAUUUCUUCUAAAGCUAAAUACCGGCCAGAGACCGAUAGCGCACAAGUAGAGUGAUCGAAAGAUGAAAAGCACUUUGAAAAGAGGGUUAAACAGCACGUGAAAUUGUUAAAAGGGAAGCGCUUGUGACCAGACUUGCGUCCGGUGAAUCACCCAGCUCUCGCGGCUGGGGCACUUCGCCGGCUCAGGCCAGCAUCAGCUCGCUGUCGGGGACAAAAGCUUCGGGAACGUAGCUCUCUUCGGGGAGUGUUAUAGCCUGUUGCAUAAUACCCUUCGGCGGGCUGAGGUACGCGCUCCGCAAGGAUGCUGGCAUAAUGGUCAUCAGCGACCCGUCUUGAAACACGGACCAAGGAGUCAACCUUAUGUGCGAGUGUUCGGGUGUCAAACCCCUACGCGUAAUGAAAGUGAACGCAGGUGAGAGCUUCGGCGCAUCAUCGACCGAUCCUGAUGUUCUCGGAUGGAUUUGAGUAAGAGCAUAUAGGGUUGGACCCGAAAGAAGGUGAACUAUGCGUGUAUAGGGUGAAGCCAGAGGAAACUCUGGUGGAGGCUCGCAGCGGUUCUGACGUGCAAAUCGAUCGUCAAAUAUGCGCAUGGGGGCGAAAGACUAAUCGAACCUUCUAGUAGCUGGUUUCCGCGA